CUAGGGAUGAUGGGAGUUGUAGUCCAAAAACAGCUGGAGACCCAAGUUUGGCCAACACUGGACUAGAUGAUUCCCAGCUGCUGUUGGACUACAACUCCCAUCAUCCCUGAC
Molecule: microRNA precursor, 111 nt
Filed under: Podarcis lilfordi (Lilford's wall lizard)
Lineage: Eukaryota; Metazoa; Chordata; Lepidosauria; Squamata; Lacertidae
Source: RNAcentral